Long non-coding RNA from Labeo rohita (rohu), 247 nucleotides. RefSeq lists it as uncharacterized. NCBI's taxonomy places the organism in Eukaryota, Metazoa, Chordata, Actinopteri, Cypriniformes, Cyprinidae. The record is from RefSeq and is a predicted model, not a curated record. The transcript is spliced from 3 exons.
GUGUACACAGAGCCGAGACUUCGCCUCCUGAAUGAAUGAGGAGACAAAGACAGAUGAGCGGGUUAUGGAAAGAGCUCUUCAGUGUAAAAGGCAGUGAUGCCAGAGGGACAAGUGUUUCAGUGUGCCAGGAUAAUCAACGCUUGCUGAGCGUUCAGACGGGACAUUCUGCGAUUUAACGUUUGCAAGAUGUGGCACGACGUCUCUGGAACACACCGCGAAAAAGACAGAACCGACGCUCAUUUUUCAC